Molecule: ribosomal RNA, 272 nt
Filed under: uncultured prokaryote
Description: partial 16S ribosomal RNA
Rfam family: Bacterial small subunit ribosomal RNA
Source: RNAcentral
GUGCCAGCAGCCGCGGUAAUACGGAAGGUGCGAGCGUUAAUCGGAAUAACUGGGCGUAAAGCGCGCGUAGGUGGUUGAGUCAGUCAGAUGUGAAAGCCCCGGGCUUAACCUGGGAACUGCACCUGAUACUGCUUAACUAGAGUACGGUAGAGGGCAGUGGAAUUUCCUGUGUAGCGGUGAAAUGCGUAGAUAUAGGAAGGAACACCAGUGGCGAAGGCGACUGCCUGGACUGAUACUGACACUGAGGUGCGAAAGCGUGGGUAGCAAACAGG